Molecule: ribosomal RNA, 529 nt
Filed under: uncultured bacterium
Lineage: Bacteria
Description: bacterial SSU rRNA
Rfam family: Bacterial small subunit ribosomal RNA
Source: RNAcentral
GACGAACGCUGGCGGCGUGCUUAACACAUGCAAGUCGAACGAAGAGCGAUGGAAGCUUGCUUCUAUCAAUCUUAGUGGCGAACGGGUGAGUAACGCGUAAUCAACCUGCCCUUCAGAGGGGGACAACAGUUGGAAACGACUGCUAAUACCGCAUACGAUCCAAUCUCGGCAUCGAGACUGGAUGAAAGGUGGCCUCUAUUUAUAAGCUAUCACUGAAGGAGGGGAUUGCGUCUGAUUAGCUAGUUGGAGGGGUAACGGCCCACCAAGGCGAUGAUCAGUAGCCGGUCUGAGAGGAUGAACGGCCACAUUGGGACUGAGACACGGCCCAGACUCCUACGGGAGGCAGCAGUGGGGAAUCUUCCGCAAUGGACGAAAGUCUGACGGAGCAACGCCGCGUGAGUGAUGACGGCCUUCGGGUUGUAAAGCUCUGUUAAUCGGGACGAAUGGUUCUUGUGCAAAUAGUGCGAGGAUUUGACGGUACCGGAAUAGAAAGCCACGGCUAACUACGUGCCAGCCGCCGCCGUAACAC